GGCAACGUGGCCGAGCGGUUAAGGCGCUGUGUUCAGGAUCCCACAACGAGGUACUCUUCGCAGUUCGAAAGAGCGCGCGUUCGAAUCGCGCCGUUGUCA
Molecule: transfer RNA, 99 nt
Filed under: Talaromyces islandicus
Lineage: Eukaryota; Fungi; Ascomycota; Eurotiomycetes; Eurotiales; Trichocomaceae
Description: Penicillium islandicum tRNA
Rfam family: tRNA
About the family: Transfer RNA (tRNA) molecules are approximately 80 nucleotides in length.
Source: Rfam by way of RNAcentral